UACGAAGGGGGCUAGCGUUGCUCGGAAUUACUGGGCGUAAAGGGCGCGUAGGCGGCUGUUUAAGUCGGGGGUGAAAGCCCGGGGCUCAACCUCGGAAUUGCCUUCGAUACUGGACAUCUUGAGUACGGGAGAGGUGAGUGGAACUCCGAGUGUAGAGGUGAAAUUCGUAGAUAUUCGGAAGAACACCAGUGGCGAAGGCGACUCACUGGCCCGGUACUGACGCUGAGGCGCGAAAGCGUGGGGAGCAAACAGG
Molecule: ribosomal RNA, 253 nt
Filed under: uncultured bacterium
Lineage: Bacteria
Description: partial 16S ribosomal RNA
Rfam family: Bacterial small subunit ribosomal RNA
Source: RNAcentral